RNAcentral lists this transfer RNA (67 nucleotides) under Linepithema humile (Argentine ant). Its description in RNAcentral is "tRNA-Cys". The record is from RNAcentral. Lineage: Eukaryota; Metazoa; Arthropoda; Insecta; Hymenoptera; Formicidae.
UAUUUUAUAGUUUAUAAAAAUAUUAAAUUGCAAAUUUAAAGAAAUUUUUUAAAAAAAAUUAAAAUAU